GCAAUUGCAGUGAUGAAUCCAUUGUGGUGGACUAGAGUUUCUGAUUGGGACUCUUCUUUCCCAUUAGUUUGAAGACUAACCCUUGGCUGUCUGAGCAAGCUUGC
Jatropha curcas is the source of this 104-nucleotide non-coding RNA. Lineage: Eukaryota; Viridiplantae; Streptophyta; Magnoliopsida; Malpighiales; Euphorbiaceae. The record is from Rfam.